GGAUUAGGCAUGCAAGUCGAACGGUAAGGCCCUUCGGGGGUACACGAGUGGCGAAAGGGUGAGUAAUGGCUGGUUAACCUACCCUCGAGUGGGGGACAACUUCUGGAAACGGGAGCUAAUACCGCAUAAGACCACAGAUGGGCAUCCAUCAGGGGUCAAAGUCUUCGGACGCUUGAGGAGGGGACCAGCUUGUAUCAGCUUGUUGGUGUGGUAACGGCUCACCAAGGCUACGACGCAUAGCCGGCUUGAGAGGGUGGCCGGCCACACUGGGACUGAGACACUGCCCAGACUCCUACGGGAGGCUGCAGUCGAGAAUCAUUGUCAAUGGGCGCAAGCCUGAACGUGCGACGCCGCGUGUGGGAUGAAGGCCUUCGGGUUGUAAACCACUGUCAGGAGCUAACAAUAAGCGUGUAACCCACGUGAUGAGUUAAACUCCAGAGGAAGUGACAGCUAACUACGUGCCAGCAGCUGCGGUAAUACGUAGGUCGCAAACGUUGUUCGGAUUUACUGGGCUUAAAGGGCGUGUAGGUKGUUUCGUAAGUYAAGGUUGAAAUCCGGCGGCUCACCCGCCGAACUGGCCUCGAUACUGCGGAACUAGAGUCACGGAGGGGUGCGUGGAACUUGUGGUGGAGCGGUGAAAUGCUCAGAUAUCACAGGGAACACCCGAGGCGAAGGCGACGCACUGGCCGUGCACUGACACUGAGGCGCGAAAGCGUGGGUAGCGAACGGGAUUAGGUACCCCGGUAGUCCACUCUGUAAACGAUGUGCACUAGGGAGAGGGGACACCUAUGUUUUCUCUCCCCAAGGGAAACCGUUAAGUGCACCGCCUGGGGAGUAUGGUCGCAAGGC
RNAcentral lists this ribosomal RNA (849 nucleotides) under uncultured Planctomycetota bacterium. RNAcentral's name for it is "bacterial SSU rRNA". It matches the Rfam family "Bacterial small subunit ribosomal RNA", at positions 46 to 894 of the family's 1533-position model. Lineage: Bacteria; Pseudomonadati; Planctomycetota. The record is from RNAcentral.